UGCCCAGCAACUCCUAUCGCUACCUUCUCGUGGUACUGGCCGGGGUACGAGUAACCUUAGGGAAGAUCUGGUAACCAACCCCGGUGGG
This 88-nucleotide ribozyme is filed under the name Aedes aegypti (yellow fever mosquito). RNAcentral's name for it is "drz-agam-1 ribozyme". It matches the Rfam family "drz-agam-1 ribozyme". Lineage: Eukaryota; Metazoa; Arthropoda; Insecta; Diptera; Culicidae. The record is from Rfam by way of RNAcentral.